UCUGUCAAACUAAGCGUAAGUGGUUCACAGUCUGUACCACAGCUAAAUUUAAAAACCUAUAGGUCUAGCCGGGCGCGGUGGCUCACGCCUGUAAUCCCAGCACUUUGGGAGGCCAAGGCGGGCGGAUCACGAGGUCAGGAGAUUGAGACCAUCCUGGCUAACACGGUGAAACCCCGUCUGUACCAAAAGAAUACAAAAAAUUAGCCAGGCAUGGUGGCGAGCUACUCAGGAGGCUGAAGCAGGAGAAUGGCGUGCACCCGGGAGGCGGAGCUUGCAGUGAGCCGAGAUCCCACCACUGCACUUCAACCUGGGCAACAGAGCGAGACUCUGUCUCAAAAAAGUAAACAAAUAAAAACAAAAAAAAGAACCUAUAAGUCUACAUAUUUUUUAUACCGGCUAACUGUGACCAGAUGACACAGCCUGGACACCAAAACAUAAAAGUCUUCUAUAAGAUUUCUAAGAGUAUACUCAUGAGUUCUAGAAAUAAGUCUAUUAUCUUCUGUAGUCAGUAUUGGAUACUUGAAAUAAAUAUAUAUUUUUAAUUUUGUUAUUAUAGAGUCUUCAAAUGCUUUAGCAUCUCUCUUUUGCAAGUCUGUUUUAGUAUAGAGUCCUUAAUCAGUUUUUCCCUAAUUGGACUGCUAAGAAAAUCACCUAGAGACUUUUAAAAAGUACAGAUUUUGUCUCACAUCUUUUGCUAUCACUAUCAGAAUCUUCAGGGUGCAUGUUUUAAAAUUACAAUUUUGAAAAAUACCCCAAAAGAUAGGUGACAGGGAAAUAAAAACUUGAGAACUCAAUUCACUAUGUCAAAGAAAAAUAAUAAUAAUAAGCUGAAAGCUGAGUCAUGCAAGAAACUACCUUUCCUGCUGUUCUUAAGCAGACAGCUACAGAUGAAAGGUAAAAUAUCUCCAUAGGCAGCUAUGCCAUGUUCACAUGAUCUUAUGUAAAGUGCCAAUUUACUGAGAACAAGACAAAAAUAUAAUUGAUUAUUCUCCUACCUGCUCCUUUUGUCUUACAACAUGUGGAUUACCGUACCCUCUCUUUCCCCUCCAGAUUACUUUUCC
RNAcentral lists this long non-coding RNA (1061 nucleotides) under Homo sapiens (human). RNAcentral describes it as "HSALNT0319857". The record is from RNAcentral. Lineage: Eukaryota; Metazoa; Chordata; Mammalia; Primates; Hominidae.